CCUACGGGAGGCAGCAGUGAGGAAUAUUGCUCAAUGGGCGGAAGUCUGAACCAGCCAAGUAGCGUGCAGGAUGACGGCCCUACGGGUUGUAACCUGCUUUUAUACGGGAAUAACGCGCCUUACGUGUAGGGCUUUGCAUGUACCGUAUGCAUACGGACCGGCUAAUUCCUUGCCAGCAGACGCGGUAAUACGGAAGGUCCGGGCGUUAUCCGGAUUUAUUGGGUUUAAAGGGAGCGUAGACGGCAUGUCAAGCGUGCUGUGAAUUGUCCGGGGUCAACCCGGGCCUUGCAGCUCGAACUAGCGUGCUUGAGUGCGCGGAAGGCAAGUGGAAGUCGUGGUGUAGCGGUGAAAUGCUUAGAUAUGACGAAGAACACCGAUGGCGAAGGCAGCUUGCUGGAGCGUAACUGACGCUGAGGCUCGAAAGUGCGGGGAUCGAACAGGAUUAGAUACCCUAGUAGUC
This 460-nucleotide ribosomal RNA is filed under the name uncultured bacterium. RNAcentral's name for it is "partial 16S ribosomal RNA". It matches the Rfam family "Bacterial small subunit ribosomal RNA", at positions 338 to 795 of the family's 1533-position model. The record is from RNAcentral.